CGAGGGGCAGCAUGGUCUUAGCUUGCUAAGGCCGAUGGCGACCGGCGCACGGGUGAGUAACACGUAUCCAACCUGCCGUCUACUCUUGGACAGCCUUCUGAAAGGAAGAUUAAUACAAGAUGGCAUCAUGAGUCCGCAUGUUCACAUGAUUAAAGGUAUUCCGGUAGACGAUGGGGAUGCGUUCCAUUAGAUAGUAGGCGGGGUAACGGCCCACCUAGUCUUCGAUGGAUAGGGGUUCUGAGAGGAAGGUCCCCCACAUUGGAACUGAGACACGGUCCAAACUCCUACGGGAGGCAGCAGUGAGGAAUAUUGGUCAAUGGGCGCAGGCCUGAACCAGCCAAGUAGCGUGAAGGAUGACUGCCCUAUGGGUUGUAAACUUCUUUUAUAAAGGAAUAAAGUCGGGUAUGUAUACCCGUUUGCAUGUACUUUAUGAAUAAGGAUCGGCUAACUCCGUGCCAGCAGCCGCGGUAAUACAGAGGAUCCGAGCGUUAUCCGGAUUUAUUGGGUUUAAAGGGAGCGUAGAUGGAUGUUUAAGUCAGUUGUGAAAGUUUGCGGCUCAACCGUAAAAUUGCAGUUGAUACUGGAUAUCUUGAGUGCAGUUGAGGCAGGCGGAAUUCGUGGUGUAGCGGUGAAAUGCUUAGAUAUCACGAAGAACUCCGAUUGCGAAGGCAGCCUGCUAAGCUGCA
RNAcentral lists this ribosomal RNA (686 nucleotides) under uncultured Bacteroidales bacterium. RNAcentral's name for it is "bacterial SSU rRNA". It matches the Rfam family "Bacterial small subunit ribosomal RNA", at positions 63 to 738 of the family's 1533-position model. The record is from RNAcentral. Lineage: Bacteria; Pseudomonadati; Bacteroidota; Bacteroidia; Bacteroidales.